Molecule: long non-coding RNA, 593 nt
Organism: Homo sapiens (human)
Lineage: Eukaryota; Metazoa; Chordata; Mammalia; Primates; Hominidae
Exons: 2
Source: RefSeq, a predicted model, not a curated record
AUGCCCCUGAGAAUAAAAUACCUAUGCACAAAUGAGAGCCCAUCUUACCAUCUUAGCUUAGUGACAUCUAACAAAACUCCAAUGUAUGAGGCAUCACAUUUUUUAGCUACUCUACUAUCUGAGGGUUCACUGAUGAUUCAUGUCACCUCCUUCUAGGUUUUUUUUCUAUCUUGCUGGCUUCUCUCCUUCCCUCCUUUUCUCUGACCUUUACUCAUUUUCGUUUCUUUUAUCCAGAGGGAGAAAAAACAAACAAACACACAAGAAAUUCCUCCCUUCAUUUCCUGACAGCUUCCCCUUUCUCUGAUGGCUUGUUUACUGCUGAUAUCCAGGCUCUGCUCCAAGUGGGGAAGGAGUAACCAAUCAAGUUAUUUUCAAAUAAGACCGUUUUCUUCCUAACAGACAUUCUUGUGCUGGCUAUUAAAAUCUUAAAAAUUUAACAUCAUUGCACAUACAAUGACAAAUGACAAAUGUAACAAAUUUAUAUCUUCGUGUGCAGAGAAGAAUGUCGGGAAGAAUAUACACUAGAAUGUUUACAACUAGAGAGAAUGUGCCACCUUAGGCUACGGAGAAAAGGGAGAAAAUUAAUUUUGGGU